GACGAACGCUGGCGGCGUGCUUAACACAUGCAAGUCGAACGGGAGUAUCGAAGAAGCUUGCUUUUAAGAUACUUUAGUGGCGGACGGGUGAGUAACGCGUGAGGAGCUGUCCUAUGCAGGGGGACAACAGUUGGAAACGACUGCUAAUACCCCAUAAGCCGAGAGGUGAAAGGAUUUAUCCGGCAAAGGAGGUACUCGCGUCCUAUCAGCUAGUAGGUGAGGUAACGGCUCACCUAGGCGAAGACGGGUAGCCGGCCUGAGAGGGCGAACGGCCACACUGGAACUGAGAUACGGUCCAGACUCCUACGGGAGGCAGCAGUGGGGAAUAUUGGGCAAUGGGGGCAACCCUGACCCAGCGACGCCGCGUGGGUGAAGAAAUCCUUCGGGAUGUAAAGCCCUGUUGUAUGGGAAGAGCAGAAGACGGUACCAUACGAGGAAGCCCCGGCAAACUACGUGCCAGCAGCCGCCGUAA
This 472-nucleotide ribosomal RNA is filed under the name uncultured bacterium. RNAcentral describes it as "partial 16S ribosomal RNA". It matches the Rfam family "Bacterial small subunit ribosomal RNA", at positions 28 to 523 of the family's 1533-position model. The record is from RNAcentral.